Long non-coding RNA from Dermacentor albipictus, 1014 nucleotides. RefSeq lists it as uncharacterized. The record is from RefSeq and is a predicted model, not a curated record. Lineage: Eukaryota; Metazoa; Arthropoda; Arachnida; Ixodida; Ixodidae.
UCAACGAUGGAAAUCCGGGAUGAAAGUUUGAGAGACUGCAACGGGCUGUAGGAUGCUUCUGAUCCUGCGAAAUAGCGUCAGGGCACACUCGCCGCGAUACUUGUGCGCCGUGCGGUGAGCACUUGACAAGGCUCUUGGGUUUUCGCCCACCGGGAUUGGAGUGGACGUUCACCAUACGGCCUGAAUUGAUGCCCCUCCUGAACAUAACGGCGAAAUCGAUAGCUCGAGCACUCGUCACACUCUGGAUUAGCCACUGCUGUGUCCCUUCCACCAUUACGGCUGACCAUGGUCGUCAAUUCGACUCGGCGUUGCUCGCAAGCCUAUCUCGCCUACUCGGCAUACAAGGAAGCCACCUUCCCGCCACCGUUGCAGCCAUCCUGGAUACCGACGCCUUCAAAACCAGCAUUCAUGAAACGCCACAUUGAAUCUGUCUUUGUAUAUUGCACAAAUGUUUUGUUAUGUUCACCCACUCCUUUCUGUAAUGCCUUCGGGCCCUGAAAGUAUCUUAAAUAAAUAAAUAAAUAAAUAAAUAAAUAAAUUACACUUUCCGCGUUACGGGACUGCGGUGCUAGCCAAAGAAUGCUUACGAAUUAUUAAGUAUAUAACCUGAAGUAUGUCUGCCUUUGAGCGUGUUCACACUGACCGUUACUCAUCAGAUAUAUGGUCAUAUUACUUGAGUAUAGUCGUAACAUACUGGCGUGAUUACUUUCACAUCCAUUAUUGAACAAUGAGCCAUUACAACGUGUCCCUGCUGCCACAACCAUUCUCAAAGAUCUGCACUGCGUUGCUAGAGCAGGUCAACGAUAAAUUUAAGGAAAGCUUUGAGGCUCAUUGGUUACCCAGGAACAUCGCAUAUAGGGUUCAAGAUUUUGAUUUUGGAAAUGCUGUUUUUUAUUUAAUACGACCUUGUCAAGCACGAAUGUUCAAAUAUUUUUACCUCAUAUAAUCAAUGGCCGCCUACGAAGCAGCGGUCCUAUCUGAAAAAAAAAUCUAAUAAGCACUGAUAUCGGGCUU